GACGAACGCUGGCGGCGUGCUUAACACAUGCAAGUCGUACGGUAAGGCCCUUUCGGGGGUACACGAGUGGCGCACGGGUGAGUAACACGUGAGUAACCUGCCCACAACUUUGGGAUAACGCUAGGAAACUGGUGCUAAUACUGGAUAUGUGCUCCUGCUGCAUGGUGGGGGUUGGAAAGCUCCGGCGGUUGUGGAUGGACUCGCGGCCUAUCAGCUUGUUGGUGGGGUAGUGGCCUACCAAGGCGGCGACGGGUAGCCGGCCUGAGAGGGUGACCGGCCACAUUGGGACUGAGAUACGGCCCAGACGCCUACGGGAGGCAGCAGUGGGGAAGAUUGCACAAUGGGCGCAAGCCUGAUGCAGCAACGCCGCGUGCGGGAUGACGGCCUUCGGGUUGUAAACCGCUUUCAGCAGGGACGAAGCUUUUUGUGACGGUACCUGCAGAAGAAGCACCGGCUAACUACGUG
RNAcentral lists this ribosomal RNA (465 nucleotides) under uncultured bacterium. RNAcentral describes it as "partial 16S ribosomal RNA". It matches the Rfam family "Bacterial small subunit ribosomal RNA", at positions 28 to 507 of the family's 1533-position model. The record is from RNAcentral.